This 619-nucleotide ribosomal RNA is filed under the name uncultured Serratia sp. RNAcentral describes it as "bacterial SSU rRNA". It matches the Rfam family "Bacterial small subunit ribosomal RNA", at positions 84 to 699 of the family's 1533-position model. The record is from RNAcentral. Lineage: Bacteria; Pseudomonadati; Pseudomonadota; Gammaproteobacteria; Enterobacterales; Yersiniaceae.
UUUGCCGGCGAGCGGCGGACGGGUGAGUAAUGUCUGGGAAACUGCCCGAUGGAGGGGGAUAACUACUGGAAACGGUGGCUAAUACCGCAUAACGUCUUCGGACCAAAGUGGGGGACCUUCGGGCCUCACACCAUCGGAUGUGCCCAGAUGGGAUUAGCUAGUAGGUGGGGUAACGGCUCACCUAGGCGACGAUCCCUAGCUGGUCUGAGAGGAUGACCAGCCACACUGGAACUGAGACACGGUCCAGACUCCUACGGGAGGCAGCAGUGGGGAAUAUUGCACAAUGGGCGCAAGCCUGAUGCAGCCAUGCCGCGUGUGUGAAGAAGGCCUUCGGGUUGUAAAGCACUUUCAGCGAGGAGGAAGGCAGUCGUGUUAAUAGCACGGUUGAUUGACGUUACUCGCAGAAGAAGCACCGGCUAACUCCGUGCCAGCAGCCGCGGUAAUACGGAGGGUGCAAGCGUUAAUCGGAAUUACUGGGCGUAAAGCGCACGCAGGCGGUUUGUUAAGUCAGAUGUGAAAUCCCCGCGCUUAACGUGGGAACUGCAUUUGAAACUGGCAAGCUAGAGUCUCGUAGAGGGGGGUAGAAUUCCAGGUGUAGCGGUGAAAUGCGUAGAGAUCU